Molecule: ribosomal RNA, 492 nt
Filed under: uncultured bacterium
Lineage: Bacteria
Description: partial 16S ribosomal RNA
Rfam family: Bacterial small subunit ribosomal RNA
Source: RNAcentral
AAUGAACGCUGGCGGCAUGCCUAACACAUGCAAGUCGAACGGCAGCACGGUAAGCGCUUGUUCCUACUGGUGGCGGGGGGCGGACGGGUGAGGAAUGCAUCGGAAUCUUCUUUUUCGUGGAGGAUAACGUGGGACAAUAUACGCUAAUACCUCAUAUUAUCUACGGGUGAAAGCAGGGGAUCUUCGCACCUUGCGCGUUUGUAUUAGCCGAUGUCGGAUUAGCUAGUUGGCGGGGUAAAGGCCCACCAAGGCGACGAUCCGUAGCUGGUCUGAGAGGAUGAUCAGCCACACUGGAACUGAGACACGGUCCAGACUCCUACGGGAGGCAGCAGUGGGGAAUAUUGGACAAUGGGCGCAAGCCUGAUCCAGCAAUGCCGCGUGAGUGAAGAAGGCCUUCGGGUUGUAAAGCGCUUUUGUUAGGAAAGAAAAGCUGUAGGUUAAUACCCCGCGGUUCUGACGGUACCUAAAGAAUAAGCACCGGCUAACUACGUG